Molecule: ribosomal RNA, 842 nt
Filed under: Salmonella enterica
Lineage: Bacteria; Pseudomonadati; Pseudomonadota; Gammaproteobacteria; Enterobacterales; Enterobacteriaceae
Description: partial 23S ribosomal RNA
Rfam family: Bacterial large subunit ribosomal RNA
Source: RNAcentral
CCCCGUGAACCUUUACUAUAGCUUGACACUGAACAUUGAGCCUUGAUGUGUAGGAUAGGUGGGAGGCUUUGAAGUGUGGACGCCAGUCUGCAUGGAGCCGACCUUGAAAUACCACCCUUUAAUGUUUGAUGUUCUAACGUGGACCCGUGAUCCGGGUUGCGGACAGUGUCUGGUGGGUAGUUUGACUGGGGCGGUCUCCUCCUAAAGAGUAACGGAGGAGCACGAAGGUUGGCUAAUCCUGGUCGGACAUCAGGAGGUUAGUGCAAUGGCAUAAGCCAGCUUGACUGCGAGCGUGACGGCGCGAGCAGGUGCGAAAGCAGGUCAUAGUGAUCCGGUGGUUCUGAAUGGAAGGGCCAUCGCUCAACGGAUAAAAGGUACUCCGGGGAUAACAGGCUGAUACCGCCCAAGAGUUCAUAUCGACGGCGGUGUUUGGCACCUCGAUGUCGGCUCAUCACAUCCUGGGGCUGAAGUAGGUUCCAAGGGUAUGGCUGUUCGCCAUUUAAAGUGGUACGCGAGCUGGGUUUAGAACGUCGUGAGACAGUUCGGUCCCUAUCUGCCGUGGGCGCUGGAGAACUGAGGGGGGCUGCUCCUAGUACGAGAGGACCGGAGUGGACGCAUCACUGGUGUUCGGGUUGUCAUGCCAAUGGCACUGCCCGGUAGCUAAAUGCGGAAGAGAUAAGUGCUGAAAGCAUCUAAGCACGAAACUUGCCCCGAGAUGAGUUCUCCCUGAGACUUUAGGUCUCCUGAAGGAACGUUGAAGACGACGACGUUGAUAGGCCGGGUGUGUAAGCGCAGCGAUGCGUUGAGCUAACCGGUACUAAUGAACCGUGAGGCUUAACCUU